RNAcentral lists this unclassified non-coding RNA (306 nucleotides) under Hevea brasiliensis (rubber tree). The record is from RNAcentral. Lineage: Eukaryota; Viridiplantae; Streptophyta; Magnoliopsida; Malpighiales; Euphorbiaceae.
GGAUUCAUAAUCCCAUAGCAUAGCGUAAGAUGGAGACCCUCGUACUAUCUCCAUCUCUCCUGUUGCCACUAUCAGUUUUUGGCUGCCGCCGGCUUGCUGCUCUUCACCUUCUUCUUGGGCUCCCGGGGCUUCUGCUCAGCCUUCUUGACGCCGCCCUUGGCGGCCGCGGGCUUCGUCGCCGUCUCACUGAGCUUGGCAGCCGGCUCCUUGGCAAGUCCGGCAGGUUUCACGGCCUUCAGAGAAGCCAUUCUUCUGAUGCUUCUCUGCUCUGUUCUGUCCUGACCCUGGGAUAAGGCUCAGAAGCUC